GGCUGUACCUGUGGUAUAUGGAGGCUAGGAGUCGAAUCAGAGCUGCAGUGCUGACCACAUCCACAGCAACUUAGAUCUAAGCCUCGUCUGUGACCUACACCCACAGCUCACUGGAUCCCCAACCCACUGAGCAAGGCCAGGGAUCGAACCCACAUCCUCAGGGAUACUGGCUGGAUUCAUUACCUCUGAGCCACAACAGGAACUCCAAGAUUGCUUUAUACAAUAGUGACUACGCAAAAAAAACAUGUAGCAAGAACUUGGAGGGUGUCAGGUAUGCAGGAUGCUAUUUCUUAAUGAAAAUGUCUGUGGAUAUAUUUCAGUAGGGUGUUCUAAAUAUAUUUUUAAAACAUGGUGAGGCACAUUGAACAGGGUAGCUAGGGGCUAUUUUACAGCUUUUUAAAAGAAAUCCUGACAGAUCAAAGCUUUUGUCUGUAGAUAAUAAUGAACCUUUAUCUGAGAGUAUCACAUAUGCAUCAUUCUAUGUGCCAAAUGCCACAGCCUCAGGAAACCAGCUGCCCGCAGCCUUGUAAAUCAAAGUUUAUUCGCUUCCUCAUUUUCUGUCAUGAACUCCCUAGUCAUACGCUGUCACAGCAAUUCACUUCACAUUUUAAAAAUAAAGGUUUGUUUCAUGGAGCCUUGAUGAGUCCCAUCUGAAAACCAUUAAAAACAUCCACACCCACUUCCACACAAACCAGAAAAUCCGUAGAAUUCAGACUCAUUAAGUCUGGAAGCUGGAAAUGAUCCUAGCAACAAAUAAUUUACACUUCCCAUUAUGGACAGAAAGAAAGUAGAGAGGUCUGGUGAUCUGGCCACUGUCAUUCGAAGCAGUCAACUGGGCACUGCUGGGACCAGAACCCUGGUUUCCUAUUCCCUCUGGGUUCUCCCUGCUUCACCACGCCUCGGGUCUGGCUCUGAAGUUAGUGAAUCCCCCUUGAUACUCUCCAAGCCUGUCAGUGAGUCAUGUUUCCGUUUCCACACGCUGUUCCAAGUGGCCUUUAGGAGCACAGAGUUCAUUCAUUCACCGUAACUCGUACAGAGAGGACCGGCACACUCAGCAGUUUUGACUCACACGCCACCUUCAAAUCGGUGAAGCCAAUGGCCAACUAAAUCUAAAAAGAAAAAGAAAUCUAACUCUUGGCACUUAAAAUACUUCCUUUCAACCUACUGUAAAACAACAGCCUAUUUAGGAGAUGAAAAGUGAGUCACUGCUUUCAUCCAGCAGACAGGCUCCCCAGGCACAAACUCAUGCACAUUAUAACAUUAUACUUCAUGGGGCCUUUUAAAUAUUUACUUGUUAGCAGUAUUCUUCCUUUCAGGUCAAAGAUUAUAGUACUUAGCAACACAAAGAAAGCAGAGGGAUAUAGUUAUGAAUUAGUAAACUGCUUUGCCAAGCCUUCCAUUUGUUAAUUCAGUCCAACUUCAAAGAGGAGUUUAAAAAGAGGUUCAGCUGUCAGAAAUUAACCCUCAGAAAAUUACUGAAUCAAAAAGUGACUUGGCCAGUCUUUCCCAAACUGCUGUUAAGGAAAGAAAUGCUCAGUUGUAGGUACAGAAGCAUAAAGCCUCUUCCUAUGCAAGUAAUUUAUUUGAUCAUUUUUAUUAUCUGAAGGGGGGCAGUAGGGAUUAAAAUUUGAGAAAACACCCUGCCCUGGUUCUUCCUUUCCAGCAACAGAGUGGAGAAAGGGCUUUUCUAAUAGCACCAUAUAUUCUUCUUCUUCAGUGGCAUAGACUCUGAUUCACAGCUAUUUCAGGAGAAGGUCAAAGUCUGUCAAGUCAGAGGGGAAUGGGGAGGAGGAGCCCAUACAGAGCUAAAUCCCUGAGAGCUUAAUUUCUCCUGGCCCCCAGCGUGGCCAGUUCCUUUGGGCUUCCAAAAUCGAAACGGCCCUCUGGCUCUCAGUGAAAACAGCCUCGUUACCUGUUCCUGCGGCCUGACUCCAAGUGGCCGUGCACUUUCCCUGAACUCUUUGAUGUGCCUGCUCAAGUCUGUUUCAAUGGGCUUUCACCAUGGCUGUACAUCAGAAUCACCUAGGGAGCUUUUAACUCUACAGAUGUACGGGCUCAAUGCCAGGUCUACAGAAUCCAACAUGAUUCCCAAAGAGCAGCAGCCGGAGCCGAAAACCACUGUUCUGCUUCCUACAAAGUUGAAGUCGAUAGGCAAAGGACUGAUGGUGCAUGGACCGAACACUGAGCACACUGACAUUAAUAAGUGAAGGGCUUCAUAGCAAGAUUUUCAUCAGUCCCCAAGUUUACAAAUCGACGGCAUUCACAGGUGGCCUUUUUUCUUUUCUGGGCUAUUUUCACAAAGAAAUAAACAGGUGUUACUUUGAGAGGAGUAGGUGCUUAAAACAAAGCCAUCCAGGAGCAGAAGGCUGUGGCUGGUUCACAUGAGUGAAGUCCCUGCUCCCCACACAGCCCACCCAAGACACGACCCUAACUGGGGACUCAUUUCAUCACAUGUCUUGAACCUUUGGAGACCACCUGAGAAAGUCAGUACCAGGAGUGUUCGCUACGCUAAAGCCAAGACUACUGUGUGCUACACAGCACAGCAAAUCCACCUCUAGAGGGAGCUUCAUAAGUGGCUCCAUCACUGACAUGAGACAGAAAGUGACU
Molecule: long non-coding RNA, 2607 nt
Filed under: Sus scrofa (pig)
Lineage: Eukaryota; Metazoa; Chordata; Mammalia; Artiodactyla; Suidae
Description: lncRNA (ENSSSCG00035058239.1)
Source: RNAcentral